CCUAAGGUAGCGAAAUUCCUUGUCGGGUAAGUUCCGACCUGCACGAAUGGCGUAAUGAUGGCCAGGCUGUCUCCACCCGAGACUCAGUGAAAUUGAACUCGCUGUGAAGAUGCAGUGUACCCGCGGCAAGACGGAAAGACCCCGUGAACCUUUACUAUAGCUUGACACUGAACAUUGAGCCUUGAUGUGUAGGAUAGGUGGGAGGCUUUGAAGUGUGGACGCCAGUCUGCAUGGAGCCGACCUUGAAAUACCACCCUUUAAUGUUUGAUGUUCUAACGUUGACCCGUAAUCCGGGUUGCGGACAGUGUCUGGUGGGUAGUUUGACUGGGGCGGUCUCCUCCUAAAGAGUAACGGAGGAGCACGAAGGUUGGCUAAUCCUGGUCGGACAUCAGGAGGUUAGUGCAAUGGCAUAAGCCAGCUUGACUGCGAGCGUGACGGCGCGAGCAGGUGCGAAAGCAGGUCAUAGUGAUCCGGUGGUUCUGAAUGGAAGGGCCAUCGCUCAACGGAUAAAAGGUACUCCGGGGAUAACAGGCUGAUACCGCCCAAGAGUUCAUAUCGACGGCGGUGUUUGGCACCUCGAUGUCGGCUCAUCACAUCCUGGGGCUGAAGUAGGUCCCAAGGGUAUGGCUGUUCGCCAUUUAAAGUGGUACGCGAGCUGGGUUUAGAACGUCGUGAGACAGUUCGGUCCCUAUCUGCCGUGGGCGUUGGAAGAUUGAGAGGGGUUGCUCCUAGUACGAGAGGACCGGAGUGAACGCACCACUGGUGUUCGGGUUGUCAUGCCAAUGGCAUUGCCCGGUAGCUAAGUGCGGAAGAGAUAACCGCUGAAAGCAUCUAAGCGGGAAACUUGCCUCGAGAUGAGUCUUCCCUGUCGCUUUAAGCGACCUAAAGGAACGUUUAAGACUAAGACGUUGAUAGGCUGGGUGUGUAAGCGUAGCGAUACGUUGAGCUAACCAGUACUAAUGAACCGUGAGGCUUAACCUG
This 981-nucleotide ribosomal RNA is filed under the name human gut metagenome. Its description in RNAcentral is "bacterial LSU rRNA". It matches the Rfam family "Bacterial large subunit ribosomal RNA", at positions 1950 to 2925 of the family's 2925-position model. The record is from RNAcentral.